RNAcentral lists this ribosomal RNA (240 nucleotides) under uncultured bacterium. RNAcentral describes it as "partial 16S ribosomal RNA". It matches the Rfam family "Bacterial small subunit ribosomal RNA", at positions 95 to 334 of the family's 1533-position model. The record is from RNAcentral.
CCGGCGCACGGGUGAGUAACACGUAUCCAACCUGCCGUCUACUCUUGGCCAGCCUUCUGAAGGAAGAUUAAUCCAGGAUGGGAUCAUGAGUUCACAUGUCCGCAUGAUUAAAGGUAUUUUCCGGUAGACGAUGGGGAUGCGUUCCAUUAGAUAGUAGGCGGGGUAACGGCCCACCAAGCCUUCGAUGGAUAGGGGUUCUGAGAGGAAGGUCCCCCACAUUGGAACUGAGACACGGUCCAA